This 1378-nucleotide long non-coding RNA is filed under the name Oreochromis niloticus (Nile tilapia). RNAcentral describes it as "lncRNA (ENSONIG00000036707.1)". Lineage: Eukaryota; Metazoa; Chordata; Actinopteri; Cichliformes; Cichlidae. The record is from RNAcentral.
CCUGAUAAAAACAGACUAAAUAUCCAUAAGGCUCAAGAGAAAAGACCAAUAGGAAUUAAACUUCAAAAUAAAACAGGAAGUAUACUUUGACACAGAAAAGGAGAAAAAGUCCUCAAUGACACAAAUGAGGAAAAGAAAAAAAAAAAAACUAAAACUUUACAGUUUUACAGAUGAAUUACAAUAACCAGAUAUUUGAAUAUUCAUGUCUCACUGCUUUGUGGCAUACAUUACUGUUGUAUGGCUGGCUAAUGAAGAAGAAUGUGUUAUUUUAACCCUGUUUAAGCAACCAAACAGCAAAAAGCUUUGUUUGAGUCUGUGGAAGUCAGCCACGUGUGAUAGAAACCUGCUUGCAUCCUGCAUUCAGGGUCACUGAUCUGUUCUGAGACCUCUUUGUCUUUAUGUACAGAAAGAUGACACAGAGCGCUGCUAUAAACUCAGAGUAUCUGUUCACCUUGGCUUUCCACAGAUAAAUGUAGGAAGUCUUUUUCGAGCAUUUUGACUUCCACAGACUGCCUCGAUAAAUACCUCGCUCGACCUGCUGCGACUCAAUAAAGAGGUAAGAAUCAACUUUAUGAGAUAGAGACAGAAUAAAAGUUUGAAAGGUUCAUUCGUGAUUGACGUUCUGCAGGUAAAAACACAUAAAGGGGAGAUAGCGAGAGGCAAAGUCAGCAGGCAGGCAUUGGGAAGUGAAUUUCAGUCUGAGUGCACCACGGGAGCCCUGCGACUGAGUGCAGAACACGUUAGCAAAAGGGUUUAGAGUCAAGUGAGGCUGGGGUUACUACAAGGCCAAAAAAGCUUCUUGUAGAGAUCCUCAUUUCAGGCGUGUGAACUCGCGUCUUUAGAAGCACGAGUAUUUUGUCUCACCUGAACUUGAAGGGAAGCAGUUUCGAGAGAAAAGCAUCUUAUAGGUGUUUCAGGUUAGGAUGGAGGAGCUUUUAUCUUGGAGCACUUCACUGAAACACAAACCUACCAGGACUCUCUAAAACAUACAUGUUCACAUAGCGUGCUCUGCACAAGUCUAAAUACAGCAGGACAAAUACCAGCAUGCCAGGUGCUUCAGAUAAGUGUGGAGUUCUUUAACAAACACAGACGUCUCCAUUUUUAUUCAGUUUAUUUAAAUUGAAUUUUCUUCCUUGUGCAUUACAGGUAAUAUCAGUAAAACUGCAGUCGGCACUCUGAUUUGGUUAAAAAGGAAAAAGCAGCAAAAAGUAGUUUUUUCAGUUUGUAAAGUGUUUUAAAAACGUUUUAUUUAUCCAACAAAAGCAGUGAAAAAGCAGUUAGUUCAUAUUUCAGAAACAAAGACAACAAUGUUUCUGCCAGUGAAGUGUAUGUGCAGAUGUUCUUUAACACAAAGGAUAUAAAAAAGCUCAGUUAUUCA